RNAcentral lists this long non-coding RNA (3945 nucleotides) under Brassica napus (rape). RNAcentral describes it as "long non-coding RNA (BNAP_LNC013673)". The record is from RNAcentral. Lineage: Eukaryota; Viridiplantae; Streptophyta; Magnoliopsida; Brassicales; Brassicaceae.
GAGACUCGGCGACGCCAACGAGGCCAACGUCUUGUCGUCUCUGAUAUCAAGAAGCUGCGAAUCAGGCUGGCUCUUGAGCUUAAGAAACGCGUUGAUGGCGGUUAUCGGUUUAUACUUCCUCAGGUAGAAGAUCGCCGCCGGGUAGACGACGAGGUAGAUGAAUGUGCAUCCCGCCACGAAAAACGGGUACUUGUUGAAAAAGUUGUCGAUCGUGAUCAGAAUCGACUCCAGAUCGAUUUUUCCGGUGGAUUGGUCGGAGAUUGAGGUGAAGGGUUGUGUUGAUGCGAGGACAGGGGAACAGAGGAUGGUGUGAGAAAGGGUGAGAGAGAGAUUGGUUUUGGACAGAAGGUGUAGCGAAUGAGAUAUGUUGUUGAGUGGAGCUGUGCGACUUUGGUCGGAAUUUGGAGUUUGAGGAGUGGAGGGUUUGGAUAGGUUUCGCGGAGGAGAAGAUGCGAGAAUUGUCGGAAGAGACGACAUCAUAACUAAAUGGCGACGAGAGACGAUGAGUGGAAGCGCCAAGAGGAUAAGAAACAAAAUAAAGGGCUCAUUCUUGUAAAAUUGGAUAAACACUAAAAGAUGAUGUCAAAACUGUAAAUAACUACUUUUGUCAAUUAUUAAUUUACAUAAAAAAAAAAAAAAUUGAGAACUAUUAAUUUUAGAUACAAUUGCCAAAACAAUUUCCCAAUUUAUCAACAAAUUUUCCCAGCUUUUUGUCUAUACUAUUUUUAGGGCAAUUCUCUUAAAUAACAAUUUUUAAGUUUUUGUCACAAAAAUAGUCUUCAAAAAGAAAAUGACAAAAAUAGCUCCAUUUUAUUUUGAAAUUUUUAAUAUUUAUUUUUAUUUUUUUUAAAUUUGAAAUCUUAUCAUCAAAACCCCCUAAUUCUAGAUUAGUUAACCCUAGAGUCAAAAUACAUUUUUACUUUUCGAUAAAACUUAUUUUGUUUAUUUUCUUCAUUGAACGUUAUUUUGCGACAAAAACUUAGAAAGAUAUAUCUUAGAAAAUUUCUCCUAUUUUUAUCACGUUAAUUAAUGAUUUUGUCUUUUCUCUAAGUAUUUUGGUUUCAGUUAAAUAAAAAUAACAUUACAUAUGAAAGAAAUUUUAAUAGAUUAUUUAUUUUUGCUUAAGUCUUAAGAAGAGAAAAAAAAACUCUGUAUUGUCAAACACUACUGUUUUGAUUUUCCAUCUAACGACAGUGAAUUCUGAUUUAUUCAUAAAAUUUAAGAUGAACAAAUUUAAAAUGUAAACCUAUAAUAUUUUACACAAAUUUAGAAAAAAAUAAAUACUUGCGUCUCUGUUUCCCUCCUCUCUCUAUAUAUUAUGGCAAAACAAACUGGAUACAUUUUACACAACACAAAGCUGAUCCCAUCUUAAUAAACUAAUGAGAUGAGUUAUGUUCAUCGUCUGAAGAUGAAGAAGAAGAAGACUGCUUUCGUCCGAAUAGUCCAGGCAGAGGCUGUGGCAGCAUUGGGUUCACAGGAACUGGAAACUUGUGAGCAGAACUAACCAUUGUUCUUUCGUUUAUCAUCCCUACUUCUUUGCAGACUCUGUCCACUACUCCGAGGAAGUCUCGAACCACCAAGAAUAUCCUAAACGGAUGUGCUUCUUCUUUAGCCGAGUUCCCAUGGAAAUACUCUGUGAUCUCUUUCACGAGAGACAACGCUACGCUCUCUUGAGCUUGUACUCUGAUGAUGUCUUCUUCAGCUCUUUUCAGAAACGUGUUCAUCGAUUCCAAAAACCUCUCGCUACUGCUGCUGCCGCUUUCUUCUCUGACCGUUGAUUGGAUUUGGACUGCUUCGUUGAUCUUGGCAAUGCCUUGGGAAAGCUUGGAGACGUAGCUGCUGAGUACUUCCGAGUCCAUUGCCGCAGCUUUCUUGACGUUGCCAAGCUCUGAAGAUAGACUUGAUACAACUUGGAGGCCGAGUUUCCUGCAUUUGAUGUCAUCCGUUUGUGUAUUGUUGUCACCUGAGAGACGUGUGCCUUCUGCUCGGAUGAUCUCUUGAACAACGAAAUGCAAGAGAGUUGUUUUCCCAUCAGCGCCUUUGACAUCGACCAGCUUGAGGAGCGUGUCGAGCUUGAACGCAUGUGCGUCGCCUCGGUUCGUCCCAACGUUCAUGCGGUUUCCUGUCUUUAGAACCGCUUCUAGAAGCUUUAAGAACAUUCUGCUGUUCCUCAGUUCCUCACAAGCAGCCUACCCCAUAAAAGGUUUGAUUCGUUACAAACACAAAUGGUAGCAAGAGAGAGAGAAGAUAGCUUUGCUUUAUACAUUACCUCAAGAGUCUGGAAAGAGUUCUUCAGGUAUUCAACCUCGGAGUCAAAGUUAGCUACAUAGAGCAUUGCGUCAACUCUUUUAAAGGCAAAAGGGAUGUCUAGCAUUGCCUUGAGGAACUUCUCAGCAUGUCCAAGCUUUACAGGCGAAUCAUCCUUGUACUCUUUUAACCUGCGCUCUUCCUCUUUCGUUGGGGCCAUCUUGAGUAAGCUCUCUAGAAGUUCAGUCCCAAGUGUUUCGGCAUUGCCUGAAAAGCAUAACAUAACAACAAUCAUUCAGGACAUCAACUUCUUAGAUCAUAGCUAAACAAACGCAGAUGAAAUGUGAAACUAAGUAUGUGACAGCAUAGGUUACCUUCAAGAAGCGCUUCACAGACUUCUUCAAUAGUGACAUUAAGUGCACGAAGCAGGAUUGCAAUAUUCUGAGCCUUCUUAGGGUCCAAGACUCUGUUCUCUUGAUUCGGGCUUGGGAGAGCGCAUCUUGGAGUAGUCUGGCUCUGAUUUGGUUUGGAGUCUAACGACUUUGCCACAAACAACGUUUCAAUCAUCUCUUCAUCUAAUCUGCAAUCACACCAAUAAAAUUUCAACAACCAUAUUGUGACAAAGAAACUAUGAGAUUAACUCACUUGAAAGAGCUUGAACGAAGCUGAUCCCAGACCAUCUCACGGUCGGAACUUGCUCUGACUUUAUCCCAGUGCAAAGCCUUAAGCUUCGGUUUAGGAGUUUCCUCUGCAGGCUCAUUGGCACUGAACGUCUCUUUUAGAGUCUCUUCUGGUGAAGUCUUUGGAAGGUUUUCGGAUGGGAUCACAAAAGGAUUCGAAGGCGGCGUGAGAGGAGGUGGUCGGGACGCCUUAGGAGUCGCUUGAUUCCGUCGUGCCCAUGUCGGAAACGGUGGAGGAGGUGGCGGAGGCGGCACUCGUGCAGACACCGGAGGCUGUAGAAUCUGAGAUGAAAUGUUGGAGAUUCGUGGAGAUACAUCUAAGCUAUGGCUAAAGUCUCUAUCCGGAGAAGACGAAAGAGACGACGACGAGGCAGACUGUGGAUCGUGAGAAGCUUUCUCCGGCGGCGACUUGUGAGAAGCUUUCUCCGAACGCAAUGCAUCCAACUCGUUAAGGAAGCCUUGUCCCGGGCGCCGCCUUUGAUGUAAUAAGCCUCUUUAAAUCCAUUCUCAACCAGCAAUUCAGCCACUUUCAUGGAGUUACCAUCAAAACUGCCUUCCACAUCAAAACAUGUAAGACAAACACAAAGCAAUAUCUUAAAAAAAGUAUGAAGCUUUUGGUCUAAAUCCUUACUUGUCAAGUACACAAACAACUGUGUUCUCCGGAUCAGAGAAUCCUCCUUUAACUCUCUUCACGAACCCCGACUCAUCUUCCUCACUAUACGGAACCUGAACCGAGCUCUUACCCAGAAACUUGAGACUCGGCGACGCCAACGAGGCCAACGUCUUGUCGUCUCUGAUAUCAAGAAGCUGCGAAUCAGGCUGGCUCUUGAGCUUAAGAAACGCGUUGAUGGCGGUUAUCGGUUUAUACUUCCUCAGGUAGAAGAUCGCCGCCGGGUAGACGACGAGGUAGAUGAAUGUGCAUCCCGCCACGAAAAACGGGUACUUGUUGAAAAAGUUGUCGAUCGUGAUCAGAAUCGACUCCAGAUCGAUUUUUCCGGUGGAUUGGUCGGAGAUUGAG